Molecule: unclassified non-coding RNA, 361 nt
Filed under: uncultured Pezizales
Lineage: Eukaryota; Fungi; Ascomycota; Pezizomycetes; Pezizales
Description: sequence contains ITS2
Rfam family: 5.8S ribosomal RNA (bases 1-151)
Source: RNAcentral
AACUUUUAACAAUGGAUCUCUAGGCCCUUGCAUCGAUGAAGAACGCAGUGAAAUGCGAUAAGUAAUGUGAAUUGCAGAAUCUCGUGAAUCAUUGAAUCUUUGAACGCACAUUGCGCCCUAUGGUAUUCUCAAGCAUUAUUUUGUGAUGUUUGGAUCUGUUUGGAGAGGCACCUCUGUCAGAGAGGUACCCCCCAGAAAUCUAUAUGGCAGUAUAGUUUAUAUCUGAACUAGGCGUAAUAAUAAUAAAGUCGCUGAAUUCACCAUAUUUAUACUUGCCUGAACCCACCCAUUUGUUGAACCGGGUGACCUCAGAUCAGGUAGGGAUACCCGCUGAACUUAAGCAUAUCAAUAAGCGGAGGCU